This 23-nucleotide non-coding RNA is filed under the name Cricetulus griseus (Chinese hamster). The record is from RNAcentral. Lineage: Eukaryota; Metazoa; Chordata; Mammalia; Rodentia; Cricetidae.
UCAAGAAGAGAGUCGGCUUUCUA